Long non-coding RNA from Xenopus laevis (African clawed frog), 792 nucleotides. RefSeq lists it as uncharacterized. The record is from RefSeq and is a predicted model, not a curated record. Lineage: Eukaryota; Metazoa; Chordata; Amphibia; Anura; Pipidae. The transcript is spliced from 3 exons.
AAUUUUAAACAGAGAACUUAGAAGGCUACUGAUAAAACUUUGUGAACGUGAUCCUGGGACUGCCCUUUCCUCAGGAAGGAAAUGUUUACCCCUGUGGAGCAAACUGGCAACAGUUCUGAUUUCUUUGGAAUAACUAGAAGUCAACAGGUUUCAUUUAGAGGCCAAUCUGAUCCAUGUGUCAGUUUUCACCCUUAAUUACUGUGUAACUUUGUAUACUUUGCCAUUGUUCUUGGACAGUAAGCAUUCAGUAUAAGGUAUAUUUUUUUAUGUAUUCUUUAGCAUGCUUUAUCUUGCUCUUUGAAUCCAGUAAGGGGUUACAGCUGAGUUAAAAUUUCCAAUGGGCCGAAAAUUUGAAGUCCUGACAACAUCAAGUAAAUGACCUGGAGCAGGAAGACCUGGAGCUCCAUCCAGUUGGAUCAGUGCAAAAACCUUUUAGGAAAUAUCUCCUGCAUUCUAAAUUCAGAUACUCAUGGGGUUUGAAGCAAGGAAGAGGAAUGUGCAUGACCUCCAAUGGAAAGCAAAACACAGCUUAGAUGCAGUAACUGGAUGAUCAGCUUUCGUUCAAAACAGCCCCUUGACUCUGAGUUUACGGCUCAGAUGAUACAAAGAAAACAGAGUUAUAUAUUGCUGAAUUUUCCAUGCAGUACAGUAACUGCCUGAUUAGAUGAUGUUUUUCUAAAGAGAAGCUAAGCCACUUUAUAUAUUCCACCCUAGGCUUCCUUCCUUAUUAAAGGGGUUGUUCAAUUCAGUUAUUUUCAAAUUGUUCACCAGUAAUAAAACCCUUUUUCAGUU